This 488-nucleotide ribosomal RNA is filed under the name uncultured bacterium. Its description in RNAcentral is "bacterial SSU rRNA". It matches the Rfam family "Bacterial small subunit ribosomal RNA", at positions 335 to 802 of the family's 1533-position model. The record is from RNAcentral.
ACUCCUACGGGAGGCAGCAGUGGGGAAUAUUGCACAAUGGGCGCAAGCCUGAUGCAGCCAUGCCGCGUGUAUGAAGAAGGCCUUCGGGUUGUAAAGUACUUUCAGCAGUGAGGAAAGGUGGGUAUGUUAAUAGCAUACNCAUUUUGACGUUAGCUGCAGAAAGAAGCACCGGGCUAAACUCCGUGCCAGCAGCCGCGGGUAAUACGGAGGGUGCGAGCGUUAAUCGGAAUUACUGGGCGUAAAGCGCAUGCAGGUGGUUUGUUAAGUCAGAUGUGAAAGCCCGGGGCUCAACCUCGGAAUUUGCAUUUGAAAACUGGCAAAACUAGAGUACUGUAGAGGGGGGUGAGAAUUUAUCAGGUGNAGCGGUGAAAAUGCGUAGAGAUCUGAAGGAAUACCGGUGGCGAAGGCGGCCCCCCUGGACAGAUNCUGACACUCAGAUGCGAAAGCGUGGGGAGCAAACAGGAUUAGAUACCCUGGUAGCUACGAGU